GACGAACGCUGGCGGCGUGCCUAAUACAUGCAAGUAGAACGCUGAAGAGAGGAGCUUGCUCUUCUUGGAUGAGUUGCGAACGGGUGAGUAACGCGUAGGUAACCUGCCUUGUAGCGGGGGAUAACUAUUGGAAACGAUAGCUAAUACCGCAUAACAAUGGAUGACACAUGUCAUUUAUUUGAAAGGGGCAAUUGCUCCACUACAAGAUGGACCUGCGUUGUAUUAGCUAGUAGGUGAGGUAAUGGCUCACCUAGGCGACGAUACAUAGCCGACCUGAGAGGGUGAUCGGCCCAACUGGGACUGAGACACGGCCCAGACUCCUACGGGAGGCAGCAGUAGGGAAUCUUCGGCAAUGGGGGCAACCCUGACCGAGCAACGCCGCGUGAGUGAAGAGGGUUUUCGGAUCGUAAAGCUCUGUUGUAAGUCAAGAACGGGUGUGAGAGUGGAAAGUUCACACUGUGACGGUAGCUUACCAGAAAGGGACGGCUAACUACGUG
RNAcentral lists this ribosomal RNA (497 nucleotides) under uncultured bacterium. RNAcentral's name for it is "partial 16S ribosomal RNA". It matches the Rfam family "Bacterial small subunit ribosomal RNA", at positions 28 to 507 of the family's 1533-position model. The record is from RNAcentral.